UACAGAGGUCUCAAGCGUUGUUCGGAUUCAUUGGGCGUAAAGGGUGCGUAGGCGGCGCGGUAAGUCGGGUGUUAAAUCUCGGAGCUUAACUCCGAAACUGCAUUCGAUACUGCCGUGCUUGAGGACUGGAGAGGAGACUGGAAUUUACGGUGUAGCGGUGAAAUGCGUAGAUAUCUGGAGGAAUACCGGUGGCGAAGGCGGCAUCCUGGACCGGUAUUGACGCUGAGGCGCGAAAGCCAGGGGAGCAAACGGG
RNAcentral lists this ribosomal RNA (253 nucleotides) under uncultured bacterium. Its description in RNAcentral is "partial 16S ribosomal RNA". It matches the Rfam family "Bacterial small subunit ribosomal RNA", at positions 524 to 776 of the family's 1533-position model. The record is from RNAcentral.